GUUCGAGCUUCCCGGCUGCUUUGUUUACCUAAUCAAGCCUGGGCAAUGGCGGGCGCCCCUGCCCCAGCCUCGCUGCCGCCUUGCAGUUUGAUCUCAGACUGCUGUGCUAGCAAUCAGCGAGACUCCAUGGGCGUAGGACCCUCUGAGCCAGAGGCUGAGUAGUCUCAAGAUCUGAAGACAGCAGAAACCUGGGAAAGUUAAUGAUAUACGUUGUUAUACUCCAAGUGUGAGUCUGAAGACAAGGGAAGACCAACGUCCAAGCUUGAAGACAGUCAGAUAGAAUCAUUCUGCAGCCUGGCUAAGGAUGAAGAUAACUGAUAAACUAUUAUAUACCACUAUACCAAAAAGGAUUGAAAUUAUCCUGAAAAAGGAUUGCUGCUAUUGUUGCCUUCUCUGCAUCGUGCUGUGUCCCCAAGAAGAAAACAGAAAAGAUGUUGACAUGGAAAUUUUACCAAGCCUCCACCCCCAGAGUUAGGGUUGUUCGAAAGAGUAUCUCUUGUCUAGAGCUAUGGCUAUGUCACAAGCAAAAGAGCUGAAGGUUGAAAGGUAAAUAAGCACAAAGGAAUCAUCAGUACAAAGAGAGACUGUGACAAGACUAGACAAUUCUAUUCAAAAUUUUGAGAACUGGAGUAUAACAAAUGAGAAUGAAGAAACCAAUGAUGGAAACAUCAAGAUGAGGCCCAAUGGACCAUUAGGAGGUGGGUCUAUAAAAACUCUGAAGACAACACCAUGCUACUUGUUGCUGGCUUCUGUAUGUUAUUUCUGACACAAUGCUUAGGCAGUCUUGCUCCACUAAGAAAAAGCUGGUAGAACACAUAUAGACACUAAUAAUACGUUAAUUAUAUUAAAAAUAGGGGGCUUAUUUUAAAAUACAACUUAACUAAUAGAGUGAAAACAAUACACUGGUUGUCGUUAAACUUCCCCUUUUCUUCAUUCAUCAAAAGUGUAUCUACUGAAUACCUAACAUAAAGAAAUCAUUUAUACUGGGGUAAAUUACACAUCAAUCUAAACUUCCAGAAAAUUUUAUUCAUUAUAUAAAGUUAAAUAAGGUUGUAAAUAUCUAGAGUCCAAGGUGAAUGUGGUAUAUAUCAUAAGCGAUGUACAAAAAACAUACUGUCCGGGCACUGUGACUCAGGCCUGUAAUCCCAGUACUUUGGGAGGUCAAGGUGGGAGGAUUGCUUGAGCCCAGGAGUUUGAAACCAGCCUGGCCAACAGGGCGAAAUCCCAUCUCUACAAAAAAUACAAACAUUUGUCGGGUAUGGUGGUGCAGGACUGUAGUCCUACCUAUUCUGGAGGCUGAGGCGGGAAGAUCACUUGAUCCUAGGAGGCAGAGGUUGCAGUGAGCCGAGAUCGUGCCAUUGCACUCUAGCCUGGGAGACAGAGUUAAACUCUGUCACAACAAAACAAAACAAAAAAUACAUGCUGGGAAAGUUCAAAGAAUGGGGUCAUUUCCAGGGAAAUUUCCACAGAUGAUGUCAUAGACAACCUUGACUUUGAGGAAGAGCUAGGAUAUACAAAGUCCCAGAUAUUGGUGAGAAGAAAUCACUAAUGCUAUGGUCAUACAUUUUUAUGUUUUUUGUUUUGCAAUGAUAGCAAUGCUGGUGGUGGUAAGUAAUGAUUGCAUAUCCCAAUUUGGAGAGAACAUGAUACAAUAUGCCUUCUUGCAUGUAAUUCUGUGAAGAACGAUCAUUGCAUGUAUUGCCCAUGAAAUUGUAAUUAUAAUUAUAGCUUACAUAAUUAGAAUAUAAUAAAAUAUAACUACUUUUUCUGUUGACUUGAGUGGCACAAAUACCACCUUCUUUCCCACUAAAUGUAACAAAGAUUCCCUUUGUCUAACCGUAUGCUGUGAUCCUCCACCAGAUUUGCCAUGAUAGUGGCUGAAGAAGGAUUUAAUCCCGUCUUGGGACAAUUUGUACUAUUUAGGGAAAGAACUCUGUAACUGAGGGUUAGGUAAAGGGCCUGCUGGCCAGCAACUCCCUUGCAACUCAUCCUGUAAUCAUAGAAUGAAUGACAUGCUCAUUUAUUUCUUUUGAAAUACUUAUUAGUCACAGCAGUAGGAUUUUCCCAGGAGCAAAUAGCUGACCAAUUCUUGCUGCUGUGUAAUAGAACUCCUUGGCCUCAGGGAUCACUCUAACUGGGGAUUCCGCUUGCACAGGUACGUGACACAGCCAAGGAUGAAAGCAAAGGUGAACUCUGCCUUUGCCUGCCCGGGUCUCUGUGGGUGAGCUCUCAAUAAAGGAGGAAAAGUGUUUGAAGCAGUGGCAGUUACUGGCUGACAUAGUGACCAGCUGAAGUCCUUAGAGGGAAGAAGGUAUUGGGAGAGGUGUUUAAACUCUGCCUGACUUGUUUAGUAACUCAGGCGGUCAGUUUCUCUGCUUGCAAAAUGAUGGGCAUGUAAGAUCCUUGGGGAAUCCUGUCUUUCUGUUUUUUUGUUUUUAUUAGUAUAAAAAUGAUAGAUGAAACUUUUUAAUCUUUAGACAUUCUAACAUGUCACAUUUAUUAUCAAUUAGUGAAUGUCAUUUUAUAUAUUUUAAAAAAAAACUUUUCCACAUGCAAUGAAUGAUGAGGCAUUCUGAAGACAAAUGCCUUACAUUGUACCUUUUCCUCAUUUAUUUAAUGGCACAACAUCCGUUUUCCCCAGCUCGGCAGCUUUCUUUUACCUGACCUGUAACAUGAAGACUGUAAGUUUCAUGAAGGUAGAAAUCUUGUCUGGCUCAUCUUUGCCUCGCUAAAGUCUAAUGUAAUGCCUGGCUUGAAAAUCAGUGUUUAAUAAAUAUUAGGUAGGAAUUACAAUUAUUCAACCACAUGCUCAUUUGUGCUCAUUUAUUUUGAUAUUUCAAAAUGAUUAAUAAUUUUCUCAAAUUAAAUGAAGUGCUAGCAGCACAAGCAAUAUAACUAUAAUCCUCUUUUCAACCUAAUUUCUCUAUAUUAUGAGUAGUGAAUCAAGUGGAAAAUUUCAGAAUCAUUUCUUAAUCAUUGGUAUCUGAAAAUUUCAGCUCACUUAUUCAACAUUUAUUGAAUUGCUACAGCAAUACAACAUGGAUAACACCAAAAUGUGUAAGUCACGGUCCUUCGACUGAUGCAAAGUAGUUCCUGGUAGAGAAUAAGGACUUAGUAAUGAAAAGCUUCUUUUUAUUGAGCAAUUAUUCCAGUCACUCAUCUAAACAAUUUAUAUGUAUUAUCGCAUUUAAUCAUUAGAAAAAAACCAAUUAGGUGGGUGCUAUUAGGUUGGCGCAAAAUAAUUGCGGUUUUUACCAUUGAAAGUAAUGGCUAUUAGGUAAGGAUUAUAAUAUUAUUAUCCCUAUGAGCAAACCGAAUGACAAUGAAGUUAUGUAAAGCAAUUGCCCUGUGUUAUUCAGCCAAUUUGGAAUUCAGAUAGAAUCCAAAACCUGAAGUCUGAGUAACUGCUGUAGUGAUUGUUCUCGAUAUUGUAUACUGAUGGAGAUUUUUUUUUAAAUCUACUGGUUCUAUAUAUAAAAACAACAACAGUAAGCUAAGGAUAUCUUCACUGGGUUUUCUUUUGGUGUCAAGGAAUGUUCACAGAACUCUCAGAAACAAAUUCGAAAGGAUUCGUGACAAAUGUGAGUCUGUUUUGGAAAAAACAUUGCUAGGCAUUUAUUGUAAUUAUUCUACGAAACAUAAAUAGAAGUGGUAGAGAAGAUUGCAGGCUUUCAGCUUUUUGAAACAAAUCAAUCUGUGUCUUCUUUCCCAGGUUUUUGCUUUCAUAUUAGCAUACUGGCACCUAUCGCUUUCCCCUGCACUUUAUUCCAUUUUCAUUUUGUAAUGUUUUCAGGCAUGUUGGAAAUAUUUCUAUUUCCACAUCCUCUUCCUUCAAUGAGUCGAUAGGUUUUUAGUGGUAAUUCGAGUAAAUAAAAGCUUUGCCCUCUAAAUUGUGAAUUCAGAUGAGAUAGAGUAGCAUUUUAGAGAAUUUAAUGAGUGAAAUUAACUAAGUAAAAGCAAUGAAAGGGCUUGGUUAUGACACCUGAUUAAUAGGCUUGUAAUCAGUAACUAAAAGGCCAGUGUUGGUGUACAGAAGCUGAGGAUGGGGAACAGGUUUUCCCAUGUGGAAUUUACAAAAUAAAAUCAUUGAUAAGUUCAGUCAAUAUCUGGUAACUACCUUUGCUCAAUGAACAUAGGCAUAUUUAGGGAGUAAACAUCGUUGUCACAAAUUAGGCAUGAAAAAGAACUGGCUAAUGUACUGAAGAGUUCAGUUUUUGAUAAAAUGGGAUGAGUCAGUGAAUCAUUCUAGGUAAAAUAUUUUAAAAGUUAAAGAAAAUAUACAGAAGAAAUGAAGAGAGGUCAUUGAUGGAUAUAGUACAAUGAGAUUUAUUUGGGUACAAAUUAUACUCAAUGUCAUGUAAGUGGCUAAGAUCACUGUGAGAAUGCAGAAAGGACGGGAAGAGAGAGAAGAAAAGACAGAGACAAUGAUGGUGAUGCCUAGGCUUGGGUGUUUAGACAAAGUCCUCAGUUGGCGUCAGAUGAAAGAAGACCAAAAGGUAAGAGUGAUAAUCUAAACAAAUUAUAUGAAUAAUUAAAACUGUCCUGAUUGUUACCAAAUACCACAACUGGGGUUUCUUAUUUGUUGGUUUUUUAAAUAAUGACUUUUACAGUUGACAUUUCUCUCCAUUCGUACAGUGAAAUCUCUGUUAACUCUGGCCAUAUUACUGAGCAAGAAGGCUUUUUCUUAUAGAGGACUGAUAAGAAGUGAGUUAUGAUGGCCUUUGUUCUAUUAAACUCUGAUUGUGUGCUUUACCCAACCAACAUUGCCUAAGUACCUGCUAUGUAUGAGGCACGGGGAGAGAUUUUGAUAGUAUUUUUUUUUCUUCCAGGGAAAUGUCACAUAAUUAGCAAAGGUUUGGAAGAGCUCUGAACCCAUCCUUUUUUUUUUGCUUUUGUGCAUAGAUAUUUUUACUUUCGUCCACACAUAUUUCUGUCCUAGCCCUUUUUCUCUAGAGAACAGAAAAUUGAAGCAAGAGUUAGUGCUAAUUGUUUAUGUGGAAGGUGCAAUCCCAAGGCAGUGAGAUUAAAGGAAAAGGGGAGCAGGAGUAGACAGAGAAGGAUGUGAAAAAAUGCAUAGUCAUGUGUUAUAGCACUGCCCUCUACUUUACACAAACCACAAAAAUAAGCCCAUCAAUCGGCACGUGCAUCUGUUUGGUUAUGCAUGACUCUUUAGAUGGGCUCUAUGGAUUAAACAUUCUACAGAUAACUCUAUGGAAGAAUAGAAAGGGAGGAAACUUAUUCUCUCACGGUUCUGGUUUUCCACUUAACAAACCUUGCCUAUCAAGGAAGUAAUUAACUGCCCUGAAUCUCAGAGUUGUAUUUUCUGGUCCUUUUGGUAGUUGUUCUGUAAACUAGAUAUUAUGUGCCACAUGUUUUAUCUAACCAGGGAGUGAUGGGAUCGGGGAAGCCUGCCUCUUACAGUUUGUGACUGGUUUGGCCUUCAAUCCAAAGGGAAAAGUGAGUUCAGCCCUCCUGGAGAGCACCAGACACUGAGUCAGUAGGCUAUGGCAGCAGGGUUGUGGAUGGCCCUUCUGGGAGAAAAUACCAUGAGAUGGCUGAAGAUUAACAAGCAGCUAUGGUGCUGUAAGGUAAUAGCAUCAAGAAGAUCCAAUAGGAUGCAUUAACCUAUGCCUAAUAUGAUAUUGAAACAUUACUGGAUUCUUCUUACAGUUUCUAUGUUACCAUCUCUUAGAAUAACAAGUUACAAAUAUUGCUAUUUAUAACAUUUUUAUAUUCCUUUUGUUAUUUUCUCCUCAUUUUCAAUGUCCAUAUCUUUAUUUCCUUACUAACUUUAUUUACCUCGGGAUUAUUUUCACAUGCACACUCUGCCUAAACAGAUAGACACUUGCCUGCGUGGUGCAGGGGUAUCAUCCAUCAGCUCUUCUAGUUAUUCAGGCAAUGCGUCUCUGCACACACCAACUUCAUGGGACUCAUUCUCAGCAAAGCUGCUUAAAAAAGUGGAGAAUGGGAUGCAUUUCACCUCUACUUACUUCUCAUAUCUUUUCCCAGUUUUAUAAUGCUGCUUUUGAGAGCAGAAACAUUGAUGCCACAAACAAAACCUCUUUACCUUAAGGCUCUGUGGUGAAUUCUUUCCAAUAUCAAGAAGAAUUUAUCACUCCUAUUUCUGAAUUCUGUAGGGCAAUGACUCCUCCAGGGUGACCUUACAGCUUUGCACAUGUCCACAUAGGCCCUACAGACAAACACUUGGACUUGAACACAAGCUAAUGUGAGUGUUGCCAGAAUGCCUUUCAAUCCUCCUGGAACACGAGAGGAUGAGGGGCCUGUGAAGGGCUGCUAUGAGGCCAGCUCCCACUCCCUUCUCCAUCUCCCCUGGGGGGCUGCUGGGAGUGAGUUUCACAGCACCUUCAAGUUCUGAUGGGGUGUGGGGCUUUCUUCCUGUCCCCUCACCAUAGUAUUGCAAAUUGUAAAACAAUUUAGAGCAGUCAAAACCUGGUUCCUCAGGAACAGGAUAUCCCACAACUCAUGUUGCAGCCAAUCUUGCCCCUUUUUGUUUUGAUAUUGUUCUUUUUGAUGUGUGGAAAAUGGACCAUUGGAAACUGGCCACUUUUGCUAUCCUUCCCUUCAUUGUCGAGGGAAGUAAUAAGCUGAAUCUAAAAGUGACACAUUAUAUUUUUAGCUGUUUAAUCAGUCAGUCUUAAUUUUUGGCCUUUUCUUGUGUGGGCUUGACAACUUCUCUCAUUAUUUUGCAUAUAAAUUCUACUUUACAUAAUUCAUUCUCUUCUGUUUAAUAUGUGUGGUUAGUAGUUAAAAUGUUUAUUUUCCCACUGGAUUUAAACUAUUUAAGCGUAGUGAUUGUAUAUGUUUCGCAUUUUUCUCCAGAAGACUGAGUACAAUUCAUGGAAUAUAGAAGAAACAUGUCCUGAGUAAAUAUAUGAAUGAAUGAUCCAUUUAUGUAUGGAUCAAGAGAAAUACAGAGUACAAUAUGGAAUGUGUUAAUUCUAUAAGCAAUACUUUCUUACCUACCAACAAUAAAUUAGAAAAUUGUGGAGUUUUGAAUCCCUUUUCAUUAUGAUAUGGAGGAAUAGUGAGAGAGUAAAAGUGUUGAUGAAUUUGAAAUAUAUAAGGAAAUCCUCAAAGGCUUGGCAUUUAUUCUUUUUUUAAUUAUUGGUUAGGGGGAAUGAUUAAGGCUGCCUUUCAUAUUCAAAAGCUAAACUAUCAACUCUGAAGGUACUUUUAUUUGAUUUUUUAAAUAAUAAAGGUGGAAUUAAGAUAGAUUGUUUUUUCAACAAAUAUUUAUUAUGUACUCACCAUGUGUCAGGCAAUAUUAUAGAUGCUAUUCACAGAGCCACAAAUAAAACAGGCAAAAUUCCCAUUCACAUAGAACUUAAAUUCAUAUUUUCUCACGCAUUCCUCUGUGGAUUAAUUACAGCUUCCUUCUCAAACUUUAGUGUUUGUAAGACUCAUGUAGGGUUCUUGUUAAAAUUCACAGUCUGAUUCAGUUGGCCUAGGGUGGGCCCUGAGGUUUGGCAUUUCCAACAAGCUUCCUGGUGAUGCUGACAUGAUGAUGGCACUGGUCUGCCAAUCACAUUUUAGUCUAUAGGUAUUAGAGGACUUAUGGAUCUGUGAUCUUGAAUCUAAUGGGUUUCAGUAUCAGGAUCUGUCUUCCUUGUAACUCCACUGGACAUUUUCCUAAUCCCCUCCUCACAAGCCCUUUCCUACCACCUUAUAGUUCUUUUCUUGUUUAUAGCCAUUUACUUUAAUCCUUCUUUGCAUUUGGUCAUGCUGUCUUUUAGCUGUGAAUCUUCAUUCCCUUUCUUCUGUUUCUAGAUUUUUUUUUUUUUUUUGCCUGAUUUGCACUGAGAGGAACUUUAGCUUUUGUUUAGUUUUACUGCUUUGAAUUUCCAAGUGAGGACCCUGAUUUUUCCUGGGAAAUUUUCUCACUCCCAAUCUUAUACUCAGUUGCUAGCAAUUGCCAGAAGAGGGGAUUGUACAUGUUUAAUGUACAAUUAAAGUAAAUAUAAGUUUUUUUUUUGAAAAACCAUUUAUUCUCUUUUUAAAAUCUGAUCCACCUGAUGUCAUCAAAGGUAAUGUGAUUAUUUCUGGCCAAAUUUAGUCACUUCCAGCAUUUCCUAGUCAUUUCCAUUGUAAACUCAAUUCAUAAUUUCUAUUCUUUUUUCUUCCAUUUAGGACUGUAUCGGAAGGGGUAUAUAUGUCAAUGAGGAAGCAGUGUGAAGUUAUUCAUUAUUGGUCUUCAGCCAUGCUGGAAUUGGCUGUUCCGUCUUCAUAUCCACUGAUCUCCAAACAUCAGCACCAAACUUCCUUGGCCUUUGCUGAAACACACUGCCCAGCUUAGUGCUAAAACAGUCAUUUUCCUUUCUAAGGUCACCUGCAAAAUUAAAUUGGGUUAUUUUCUGAUUUCACACUAGGCAAUCUAUGUGCAGCACCUUCUUUUAAAGAAUCCUUUGUCUCAUUUUGAAAGAACUUUCACAACUUUCUUGGAGCAUGCAGAGAGGAUCUGACCCAUUUUUCUAGAAAAUGUACAGAGCCAUUUUAAAUCUACUGGCCCAGCAAUGUACAGAAAAUGACACUUCUCCCCAAGGCUUAGUCUCACUUCAGGACUAUAAUAUUGAAAUCAAAGCAGACGUUCCCUCCAUCUUUUGAUUUUCUGGGAUUCUCUUCUUCUCAUUCUAGGCUUCUUUUCCUCAGGAGGACAAGGUGCCAAACUUCUUUAGCAUCCUGUAAAAUCUGUACAUUUCUGAGGGUGUUCUCCCACCUGCCCAACCAUGUUUUCUUCUCCACAUCAGUUGACAUUUAUCUAAGAGGGAGUAAAGAAGCCCAUCUUUUUUAUUUUUAUUUAUUUAUUUAUUUUUGUAGCCCAUCCUUUUCUCUUGCAAUCUUUAGGACAAGGAAUUAGUUAUUAACUUUUCAAAAAAAAUUUUUAUUUUAAUAUCGUCACUGUGUCUCUGACUUUGAUGCCAUUAAAUGUUUAUUUUAAAAUAA
Long non-coding RNA from Homo sapiens (human), 8961 nucleotides. RefSeq lists it as uncharacterized. Lineage: Eukaryota; Metazoa; Chordata; Mammalia; Primates; Hominidae. The record is from RefSeq and is a predicted model, not a curated record. The transcript is spliced from 5 exons.